This 301-nucleotide ribosomal RNA is filed under the name uncultured bacterium. RNAcentral describes it as "partial 16S ribosomal RNA". It matches the Rfam family "Bacterial small subunit ribosomal RNA", at positions 509 to 809 of the family's 1533-position model. The record is from RNAcentral.
CAGUCGCCACGGUAACACGAAGGGUGCAAGCGUUAAUCGGAAUUACUGGGCGUAAAGGGCACGCAGGCGGUUAUUUAAGUGAGGUGUGAAAGCCCCGGGCUUAACCUGGGAAUUGCAUUUCAGACUGGGUAACUAGAGUACUUUAGGGAGGGGUAGAAUUCCACGUGUAGCGGUGAAAUGCGUAGAGAUGUGGAGGAAUACCGAAGGCGAAGGCAGCCCCUUGGGAAUGUACUGACGCUCAUGUGCGAAAGCGUGGGGAGCAAACAGGAUUAGAUACUCGCGUAGUCCCUGUCUCUUAUAU